GAUUCUGGUAAUAUUUUAUCUAAGAUUUACAGAGACUUAUUUAAUAUAUUCCUCCAUGUACAAAUGUUGUCUUCCUUCUAGAAUAUAUGUUCCUUGAGGACAGAGAUUGUUCCUAUUGUAGCCCGAAUUCCUAAUUCAAUACCUGGUACAUAUCGGUACUUGACCAAAGAGUGAGAAAGGGGCAGAUCUUGUCCUGGUCAAAAACAUAAGAAUAUGUCCCAAGGAUUCCUUUUUUUCCCACUGUGUCUCACUGCCAGAAGAAAGCCAAUUUCUACAAGUGACAAAGAAGAUAUUUCCAUGGGCCAUUUCUUCCACCCUCAGAUGUUUCCAGGUGUUCCAACUCCCCAACUUGUGAGGAUACUGAUUUUAAACUCUGCCCUCAGGCAGAAACAGCAAAUUCUCCAGUAGAGACAUUCAGAGCAGUGGUGCCUCUUUCAGUGUCAAAUCCUCCCAGACUGAGGAGAAAUCUGGACAUUUUGGAGACUUCACCCAGCUUUUUGAGGGGUCCAAGGCCAGUACCCUCCUUGAUCUGUCCUGGGGAGAUAAACGAAAGAAACUGGAGAACCCAAUUAACUUCUAAAAUUCUAUGGUCCUAAGGAAUGAAGAAAAACUUAUGAAAUCUCACAAGGUAAAGUAUUUAAGUGUUUGGCUUAGUCUUAUAUUUUAACAUUUUCAACAAUGAUCCAGAAGAAAGAUGAAUAUCUUAAAAUAAA
Sarcophilus harrisii (Tasmanian devil) is the source of this 713-nucleotide long non-coding RNA. RefSeq lists it as uncharacterized. The transcript is spliced from 4 exons. Lineage: Eukaryota; Metazoa; Chordata; Mammalia; Dasyuromorphia; Dasyuridae. The record is from RefSeq and is a predicted model, not a curated record.